Molecule: RNA transcript, 2677 nt
Organism: Wasmannia auropunctata (little fire ant)
Lineage: Eukaryota; Metazoa; Arthropoda; Insecta; Hymenoptera; Formicidae
Gene: APC4
Gene name: anaphase-promoting complex subunit 4
Exons: 9
Source: RefSeq, a predicted model, not a curated record
UAUAGUUUACCAUUAUUUAGAUAUUUUACAGAUAUUUAUUUACAUAUGCAAAAACAUUUAUAUAUAAAACUACAUUUGUUGUCAUUCGCAGAUCGCAUGUGCGAAUCUGAUAUCUAACCACAAAAAGACGCUAAAAUGGAAAAUUCGAACGCUUGUUAUGAAUUUUUAUUCUAAACGCGAUGUGAUAUGAUGUUUGCAUAUGAAAGAGGUUUUCCUCAAAGUUUCGCGAGCAUGAGCAGGUCGACGAUUACGAUAAAUUUUGUACGCGUGUGACUAACCUCUCUGAUUAGACAAUCGUUUGCCGAAAAGUGUUGCAUUUCUGUCAAGUGUUGUAUUUAAAAAGAAAUCAGAAAGAUAUGGCUGGUACCAUGAGACAGUUGGAGGAACGUCAGCUCCCUGCGGAGGUGACGACGAUGCUGUGGUCACCGAAAAUGGAUCUUUUAGCAGUUAGCAAUGUUAAAGGUGAAGUUGUCCUUCAUAGACUCACGUGGCAAAAAGUAUGGUUGUUGAGCCCUCAAGACGAAUCCGAUGUCACUGCUCAUUUGGCAUGGAGACCAGAUGGAAAGCUGCUUGCGGUUUGCUAUGAGAUUUCCAAGCUACUGUGUCUUGUUGACGUUGAGACUAAAAAUAUCAUUCAUAAAGUCAAAUUGCCCACAAACGAACUGACCGUUUAUGUCAAGUGGUUGUCACUCUCCAAUACUGAACACGAAGGUUCAUUGACAAAUGAUAAAACUAAUAAACCUACAGGCGAAUAUCUGCCACCUCUGCCUAGUUUAAUCAGAAGUUAUAGCGCAGAACCUGAGCGGAAAGAAUUUUUAUCCCACAUCCUAGAUAUGCUCUUUAUUGGUCAAAAAGAUGGUACGGCAUUAAUGUACAUUUUUGGUAUGUUUUAUUGUGGCACUAUAACUGUAGGCCACGGACCAAUCUUGCAGAUUACAGGCGGAUAUAAUAAUCCAAUAUGGAUUACAUGGAAAGAUAAUAAUUGUGUUAAGAUAACUAGAAUAUCAUGUCCAUUAUUUGACAGAAGCACAGCGCUUCUCAAGGUUGCGCAGACUCAAGCCAACAUAGAAUGUUUGAAAGAUUAUCUCUCACGUACCUUAAUGGCUACUUGUGAAGCUUGGGAGACAAUACUUUUGGAAAUGGAUGAAAAACUUACCCGGUAUGCAGAGGCAAAUCCACCUGGUACUAUGUCUGCAGACUUUUUGGAACUAUUGAUGAUUGGAAUACCCACGAAAAAUUUAGAAACUUUUCUACUUAGAGAUCUCACAGAGAAAGGAUUAAAAAAAUUCGGACACAGUAUUGAAAUGUGUUAUAGUAACAUACAGAAAUUAGUUUCCAAAAAUUUAACUAGCGUCGGUAUGGCUCUAGUUUAUCAAUUAGCUGAAUUGAGAGGCAUGGUGAGAGCAGGUGGCACGUACGAAGCACUAGGAUUGCGCGAUGAAACACUCAUAACUAGUGCUAUUAAUGAAUCUGAAGCUUUUCUAGCAAAAUCAUAUGAGAUUGAGCAAGUUAUAGAUCAAAGUAUGCGCAAUUACAAAGCAUUUUUUCGAUGGUUGUACGUAGCUAUUCUCCAACUAACGGAUGAAAGAGCGCCAUCGGAAGUAAGCCGCGUAAGUCAGCAGGAGUUGACAUUUAUCGCAGAAUUUCUGAGUGACUUUGACAAACCAAAAGCAAACGGCAGAGUAAAUUUGGAAAAAUUGGGUCAAUAUUUGCGUCACGAAAAUCUGCAGACUCCCCUGACUUCGGAAGGAAGCGAAUGGGCUGCGAUGCUCGAUGCAAACGAUUGCUUACGCGACUAUGCCCAUAUAGUAAAGCAGAAUUUUAAUUUAUCCUUACUACAGUCUCAUGUAAAAUUAGUCGCUGCUAUAGAAAAUGUUUUUGUUGAAGCCUAUCAGAGCUUAGUUGAUCACUUUGUGAUGAUUUCUAUCUCUUUACCGUCAUUUACAUCUCUUAUAUCUUCGCAAAUUGUAACAAACGAUGGAAAUCUUUUGUUAGCUAUGAGCGAUAUCGAUAGCAAAUUUUUGAGACUUUUCAACAUAAGAUACUCGUCUGUAGACCCUGUACCUCUUAGUUCAAAGAUGAUCACGAUAGAUGUGAGUCAUAAGCAAGGAGAAUGUCCGAAAGAAAACGUCGAUACUGUGAUAGUAGAUUUGCAAUUUUACUCGCAAGAUUAUCUUAGCUUGCUUAUAUUAAAUAAACAAACUCAUGCAUCGUUUCUUAUACAAAUGCCAUUACAUAGCAUAUCUACGCAUGAGUAUCAAGAUAAUGAUGCAGUGGUGUCGAUAACUGAAUUCAUUGGUGCAACAUGGCCGAAACCAUUUCAAGGAAUAUCUGCGAGACGACUAGCAGUCAGUGGCCCUCGGAAAGUAGCUGCUAUUUUGAAUGAAAACAAUAGAAAGAUUCGUUUACUCGAAACUGAAGCGGAACCCGAGGACGAGGAAGAUGAUGAGGAAGAAGAAGGACGUUUUGUAGAAAAUAUGAUGGAUACCACACCUAAUGCAAAUUUUCCUGCGGAAACAGCAAAAACUGAUGUACAAGAAUUCUAUAAGGAAGAAAACAACUAACGUAGAAGUAGAAUAUAUAUUUAAGUAAUAAUUAGAAGAACGACAGCUACAGCAACCACCAGUACCAUAACAGCAGUCAUUCCCCGUAACAGGAUUUCCUGGACCAAUAACAG